RNAcentral lists this ribosomal RNA (844 nucleotides) under Escherichia coli. RNAcentral describes it as "partial 23S ribosomal RNA". It matches the Rfam family "Bacterial large subunit ribosomal RNA", at positions 166 to 1050 of the family's 2925-position model. Lineage: Bacteria; Pseudomonadati; Pseudomonadota; Gammaproteobacteria; Enterobacterales; Enterobacteriaceae. The record is from RNAcentral.
AUAGGUUAAUGAGGCGAACCGGGGGAACUGAAACAUCUAAGUACCCCGAGGAAAAGAAAUCAACCGAGAUUCCCCCAGUAGCGGCGAGCGAACGGGGAGGAGCCCAGAGCCUGAAUCAGUGUGUGUGUUAGUGGAAGCGUCUGGAAAGGCGCGCGAUACAGGGUGACAGCCCCGUACACAAAAAUGCACAUAUUGUGAGCUCGAUGAGUAGGGCGGGACACGUGGUAUCCUGUCUGAAUAUGGGGGGACCAUCCUCCAAGGCUAAAUACUCCUGACUGACCGAUAGUGAACCAGUACCGUGAGGGAAAGGCGAAAAGAACCCCGGCGAGGGGAGUGAAAAAGAACCUGAAACCGUGUACGUACAAGCAGUGGGAGCCUCUUAAUGGGGUGACUGCGUACCUUUUGUAUAAUGGGUCAGCGACUUAUAUUCUGUAGCAAGGUUAACCGAAUAGGGGAGCCGAAGGGAAACCGAGUCUUAACUGGGCGUUAAGUUGCAGGGUAUAGACCCGAAACCCGGUGAUCUAGCCAUGGGCAGGUUGAAGGUUGGGUAACACUAACUGGAGGACCGAACCGACUAAUGUUGAAAAAUUAGCGGAUGACUUGUGGCUGGGGGUGAAAGGCCAAUCAAACCGGGAGAUAGCUGGUUCUCCCCGAAAGCUAUUUAGGUAGCGCCUCGUGAAUUCAUCUCCGGGGGUAGAGCACUGUUUCGGCAAGGGGGUCAUCCCGACUUACCAACCCGAUGCAAACUGCGAAUACCGGAGAAUGUUAUCACGGGAGACACACGGCGGGUGCUAACGUCCGUCGUGAAGAGGGAAACAACCCAGACCGCCAGCUAAGGUCCCAA